RNAcentral lists this ribosomal RNA (301 nucleotides) under uncultured bacterium. RNAcentral's name for it is "partial 16S ribosomal RNA". It matches the Rfam family "Bacterial small subunit ribosomal RNA", at positions 509 to 808 of the family's 1533-position model. The record is from RNAcentral.
CAGUCGCCGCGGGAAUACGUAGGUGGCAAGCGUUGUCCGGAAUUAUUGGGCGUAAAGGGCUCGCAGGCGGUUUCUUAAGUCUGAUGUGAAAGCCCCCGGCUCAACCGGGGAGGGUCAUUGGAAACUGGGAAACUUGAGUGCAGAAGAGGAGAGUGGAAUUCCACGUGUAGCGGUGAAAUGCGUAGAGAUGUGGAGGAACACAGUGGCGAAGGCGACUCUCUGGUCUGUAACUGACGCUGAGGAGCGAAAGCGUGGGGAGCGAACAGGAUUAGAUACCCCAGUAGUCCCUGUCUCUUAUACA